GGAAGAGGCGGGCUUUUCCGACCCCCACGCCCCUGGGAUGGUAAAGCUGCAGCCCACCUCGUCCUGGGGCAGAGUCUCCUUGCCUGCCUGCUUGCAUCUCUCACCAGCGUCCUAUCCUAACACCUCUGUUUCGUGCCCAUCACUUUGUCUCUCGCUGAAUUCCUUCUGCGUGGAGACAUAGAGAACCUCAACCUCAGUGAGUCCAGACGCAGGAGGAGAGCGUUUCCCAGACUCCUUGCCCCUGAGUGAGGAUACGUGCCUGGUUCUGGCCAAGGGGCUGUGGCUGAUACAGCAGGUGUCACUCUGAGUCAAAGCAAAGGAUGUGCAGACAUGAAGUCUCCACGCUCUCUCUUCUUCACCCCUUGUCUCAAGGUGUCAGAGGCACCAGCUUAUGAGGGAUGUAUGAUUGUCAGCACCUCCACUUUACAGAAGAGGACACCUGGGUAUGAUGAUAAGCUGCCCAAGGUCCCAUAUCUGGUGCUUCAUAAUCCUGGCAAAGCCACUAAGCUGAGCAGAGCUGCAGAAAUUCCCUGGCUUUCCUACUGGAAGAUGUCGAUCAAUGAGGGCGCUCGCGGCCUUUGAUGUCAGGCAUCCACGCCCGCUUCUGUAAAGACUUUCGGCUCCACAAGAGAACGGGAAGUCACUGUGAAGAAAGAGGCAGGCGAUGUAACCGGAAAAGCGCAGGUUUGAUGUCAAACAGACCUGCGUGGUUCCACCGCUUUCCGACUGUGUGACACCUCCCCCCCCCCACCACCGGUCCAGUUGCUCUCUGAACCCAAGUCUUGGAAAAUGGAACCAAUAAUACCUGUUCUUCAAGACUGUUCCUGCUGGAAGCUCCAAGAUUCAUCUGAAGGCGUGAUCACAUCCUCAAUGUUGAGUGGACUAUGAACCGGCUGCCAGAGACAGGGUUCCAAGCCGGGCCAGGCCCAUCCCAAUGCCCACCCGAAAAGACGGGACAGAGGAAAGAAAGAAACAAAAUCCUGGGGCUCCAUUGGCUUUCUUUUUGACUCCAGCUGAAGUUGCUGCAUAGUGUGGCCUUGCCAGUCCUCGCCUUGAAAAGUAGGUCUUGCGAAGUGAAACUGCGUGGCACAAAACAUGCCUUAGAGAGGCGGGGUAAACCUUUGUCUCCAAGAGUCAGGAGUUAGCAAAGGCAGAUGCACGGGAAAAAUUCCCGCCCAGGAGCUGCUGGGUGUCCCUCCUGGCAGUUUUCCUGGUGGGCCAGUGGUUGAGGUGGAGGAGGGGCAGCCCGGGAGGUCCCUGCAGAAAACAGGGAGGGAUCACUGAACAAGAAAGAAGUAAAAUAAAACAAAGAUCUAAAAAGCUCAGGAUCCGCCCACGCAGGGGACAGGGUCCCAGCAGCAUACUUAGCGCAGGCCAGGCCCCUCUGGAAAGUUGGCUGAACCUUGCCCUCUGGGCACAAGGAAAAGCAGCUCUCCUGCCAGGACCGCUGUAUAAACAUCCUUUUCCUACAGGAUCUCGUGGCUUGGGGUUCCAGUGGAGGGCAGGGAAGGUGUCCUAAUGCAGACAGAUUUCAAACUCCCGCUGUCCCUUUUCAGAUCAUAAAUUACUGUUAAUUUUGUUUACACCCCAGCCCCCUUCCUCUCUUAAUAGUUAGAGAAAGAGCAAUCACGACAAAAUCAAGGCUCCAAGGGGUAUAUGGCAGCCCCGCUCCGCUGGCUGAGAAGCAGCCAAGUGUUGCCUCAUCCUGCACUUCCCUGCAACAAAAGUUAAAUAUUUAUGUACCACAGGUGCCUCGCCUUGCCUCCUGCAAUAUCCUUUUGUAGUUUUGCUGUCAGGGAGCAGUGCGAGAGCUUCCAUUUCUGUUUAACUGGAAAGGGAAACUUGGUUUGUUUGUUCCCUUUCUCUCCCUCCUCCAACUCCAGGAGGCUCCAUGAGCCAGGCUGGGAGGCCUGGGGUGGAGGCUGCUGAGAAGUCGACCCAGGAUCUGUGUGGUUUCUCCUUGUUCAGGCAUCACCUUGUUUUGUAGUAAGCACUUCCCGGGGCCCUUUGCCCAAGCCAUCCUUGCCUGAGAGGUAUGCCCGAGCUUGAAGUUGGUUGGGUCUGGGUUUCAAUUCUAGGUCAACCCACUUAUUUAGCUGGUGACUCGCUCUCUUAGAGUCUCAGUUCUCAUCUUUAAAAUGGGGAUAAUAAUAAUAUUUUCCUAAGAGAGUGGUUGGGAAGAUGAAAAAUAGUGUAUAAAAAGUGACUGAGGCCACGUGAGAUUUUGGUAAAUGCCAGGUCUUCUAAAACAUUUUUGUUGAAAUGUAGUCAAUUUACAAAAUUAUGUUUGUGUUGGGUAUACAGCAAGGUGUUUAUAUAUAUGUGUGUGUGUGUGUAUAUAUAUAUAUAUAUACACACACACUUUUUAGUGUCAGGUAUACAGCAAAGUUAUAUAUAUAUAUGUGUGUGUGUGUGUAUAUAUACACUUUUUAAGAUUCUUUUCCAUUAUAAAUUAUUAUAAGAUGUUGAGUACAAUGCCCUGUGCUGUACUGUAGGUUUUUGUUGGUUAUCUAUUUUACAUGUAGUAGUAUGUAUAUGUUAAUCACAAAUUCCUAAUUUAUCCUCUCCAGGCCCUCUCUCCCCUUCAGUAACCAUAAGUUUGUUUUCUAUGUCUGUGAGUCUAUUUAUGUUUUGUAAAUAACUUCAUUUGUAUCCUUUUCUUAGAUUGCACAUAUAAGUGCUAUCAUAUGGUAUUUGUCUUUCUCUUUCCGGCUUACUUUCACUUAGUAUGAUGAUCUCUAGGUCCUUCCAUGUUGCUGCAAAUGGCACUGUUCCAUUCCUUUUUAUGGCUGAGUAAUAUUCCACUGUGUAUAUGCACCACAUCUUCUUUAUCCAUUCAUCUGUCAGUGGACACUUAGGCUGCUUCCAUAUCUUGGCUGUUGUGAAUAGUGCUGCUAUGAUCAUCGGGGUGUAAAUGCCAGUUCUUGCUUCUUUCUUGAUUGUGUUUCCAAGAUAGUAGCCAUCACCCACAUGUGGCUAUUGAGCACUGGAGAAGAGCUGGAAGUUAAAAUACACAAAGGAUUUCAAAGACCUAACAAAGAAAAAAAAUUUUAAAAAAUCUCAUUACUAAUGUUUCAUACUGAUUACAUGUUGGAAUGACAAUCCAUUCUAAUAAUGGAUUAAAUAAAUACAUUUUUAAAGUUAGCCUUCAUUUUACUCUUUAAAAGUGUGGAUAUGGGAAGAGUUUAAAUGAUGCCUGUGGCUUGUAUUUGGGGCAUCCAUUAUAUUUCCAUCAGGCUGCCUUGCUCACCAAUUCCUCUAUUCAAAAUUGUUCCUUUCUUCAAAGCCUAGCUCAAGCUUUCCUGUCUUCAUGAGGCAGUAAGGUCAAUCUCUUCCUUCUCUGAAAUCUGCUGGAGGUUUUGUUGUUGGAGAAAGUCACAACGUGGGUGUUUGUCAGCUGAAUUCCAGCAGGAGAAGCAUGUAAAGUGUUCAGCCCAGGGCUUGACAAAUUGUAAACCGAUACAUGUUAUCAUCCUAUUUUUCUUGCUAUUUUCAUUAGCGUCUGGAUACUAAGUUCAGUACUGGUUAUAUGCUGUCUCAGAUUCUUCUUCGGUUCUUUCUUGUGUGUUUAGUUUUGCUGAAUAUGACAUCUUAGAGGACAGAGACCACAUCACCUAUCUCCUGGGUCUGUCCUUAACCCACAGAGCCAUGCUAGGCACAGUGAAUUCCCUCCCAUGGUCAUCCACGGACAAAGGCAGAGCCUAUUGACUGAAUAGCUUGGCUUCUUAGAGUCACUGACAUUGCUGCUUUUACUCCACAGAUACUUGCUCUUCCUGGAAAGCUUUCUUCAUUUCCCUUCUUACUUCAUCGAGCUAACUCUUUUGCAUCCUGAAAAAUAUUAAUAGUUGUUAAGUACCAGUAGCACUUCCUAGGUGCUCCCUCCCACUCUAAAUAUAGUUUACAGCUGCCCUGUAAGGUAUUAUCAUUCCUCUCACUUUACCGAUGAGGAAACUGGGGCACCGAGAGAUUAAGGAACUCAUCCAAGUUACCCAGUUGAUAAGUGGUAGGGGUGGUGUUCAGACUCAGGUGGUUUGGAGUUCCCAUUGGGACUCAGCAGUAACAAAUCUGACCAGUAACCAUGACGAUGUUUGAUCCCUGGCCUUGCUCAGUGGGUUAAGGAUCCUGGGUUGCUGUGAGCUGUGAUGUAGGUCAUAGAUGCAGCUCAGACCUAGUGUUGCUGUGGCUGUAGCAUAGGCCGGCAGCUGAAGCUCCGAUUUAACCCCUAGCCUGGGAACUUCCAUAUGCCGCAGGUGCAAUCCUGGAAAAAAAAAAAAAGGCAAAAACCUCAGGUGGUUUGGUCCUAGACCCCUUGGUGUACUGUAUCUCCAGGCUCAGUGUUACCUUCACCAGGGGCCCCUCUGGAGCCCUUCUCCGAAUCUUAACUUAUUCCUUUUCCCUCUCCAUCAGAACUUUGUCAUAACUCUUACAUCCUAGAUUAGAAUCCCUGGUUUGUUUAUUUAUUUAUUUAUGUUUUAAUUUAUAUUAUUAUUUUUUGUCUUUUUGCCUUUUCUAGGGCCGCUCCUGUGGCAUAUGGAGGUUUCCAGGCCAGGGGUGGAAUCGGAGCUGUAGCCGCCGGCCUUUGCCAGAGCCGCGACUUUGAGCUACACCACAGCUCAUGGCUACGCCAGAUCCUUAACCCACUGAGCAAGGCCAGGGAUCGAACCCAUAACCUCAUGGUUCCUAGUCGGAUUCAUUAACCACUGAGCCACGGCAGGAACUCCCCGAAUCCCUGGUUUACAAUCAGUUCCCCUCAUUGACCUGAAAUCUCCCCAAGAAACUCAGCACCCGAGGCCUACUGAGCCCUUUGUGGGUAUCCCAGGGAAGAAGGAGCAUGGCUUCAGGUGACAAGUUCUGCGAGCCUCCCAAGAGGUGGGUCUAACAGAUUUUUCUCUUCCAUGUCAUCAUCCUGUUAUUUUUUCAUUCCAUUUAUAGCAAUCUUUAACCAUCCUUUUUUUUUUUUUUUUUUUCCACUUGAUUAAAAAAAACCCUUUCUUUCUCCCAAGAAUGAAGGUGGGGAACUUAUCCAUCUUGUUCACUGUUUCACUCCUAUGCCUGGCACAGAAUGUAUGUUUCAGUCAAUAUUUGUUGAGUUGUAUAAAUGAAUGAAUGAAUUCACUGAGCGUCUACUCUAUGUGCCAGGCACUGUGAAAAUACCACAGUUCUUGCCUUCAUGGUUUAUAAGUUUAUGGUGUGACAGUGAUGGUGGGGAAGGUGGGGCCGGAGGCAACAACAUCAUAGAGGUAGAGAAAGGACAGGAAAGGACUUAGCAUGCAGGGCUGCGGGAGUCCAGAAAGGAUUCCUGCAGGAAGUGACAAUGGAGAAGAGACCCAGCACAUCAAUGGGAGACAGGCAAGCUGAAGGGGAAGGUGAGAGAUGAGCGAUGGGGGAGAUGGGAAGUGAUUCCAGGUAGGGGGGAGGAGAGUGGGAAAGGUAUGGCAGAAAGUAUGACAAGUCCAUUGGGUGCAAAGAGUGGAAGGAAGUGUCCUGAGAAAUGAAUCAGGAUACCUGGCAAUGUUGUACUUUCUCUUCACAGAUUCCUUUCUCCACCUCCAGCCGCCUCGGUUGUCCUUUUCAUCUUUGUUUCUGGCUUGACUAGGUUUAGUGAAUGGUUUCCGUAGACAGAGUUUGCAUCGCUUCACUUGCUCAGGAAGCCGCAGCCCUCCCAGUUGCCUAUGUUAUCAUAAUUCCCUACAGUUAUCUCAUGAUCUACCCUUUUCUGUCUAUUUUUUGCAUGAGUUAUCAUUUGAUCCUCACAAUAACUAGCUGAGUUCUCUCAAUUCUCAGCCUGGACCUAAAACUUGGCUGUUAUCCAUCCCUUACCUCCAUCCUAUCAUGAUUCUUAUAAUUUUAUGACUCUUCUUUGCUCUUCCCUGCACAGAUGCUCGAUCUGCCAAUGAAUUUGCAUCCCUCUCUCUAUGUAUUUCAUUUAAGAACCUCCCAAGUCAAAAAUCCACUAUCUGAUGAAUACUUAGAGGGUAGAGCAAUAUAAUAGUUAUACUCAGAUCUGUUCUGGGAGGUCAAGGGUAUGUGUUCUUAGAUUUUAUGUUUUGUGUACUUCCGUUGUUGUACCUUGUUGUAGACUGUCUAUUAUGUAUUUGGAACGAUCCUACUCUUUAGAAAUUUCUUCUCAUAGAGAGUUUUGAUGUGUCUACCUAAGGCAUCUGUCCUCUGGUCUUGGUUCUAAUGUUGGUCUGUCAGGCACAGAAUAAA
Molecule: long non-coding RNA, 6210 nt
Filed under: Sus scrofa (pig)
Lineage: Eukaryota; Metazoa; Chordata; Mammalia; Artiodactyla; Suidae
Description: lncRNA (ENSSSCG00055030380.1)
Source: RNAcentral